CUAUUGGUAAAGAAAAAAUUAAAGAAAUAUAUAGAGAUAUAGAUUAUAGUUGUAAGAAUAAUAUAGGAUUUGAUUCUGUGAGAACUCAUAGAGAAAUAAGAAAAGUAGAAGAUAUUAUAACUAAACAUACGGAUAUACAAGAAGAAAUCUCAGAAGGAUUAUUUAAAGGAUAUAUAACCAAGAAAGGCCAACCUAUAAUCUUUGAAGAACUAUUAAAACAUAAAGAAUAUUUAAAGGUGUUCAAAAGAUUGAAAAAUAUAGAUAUAGGACCUGAUUGACAAUUCCUUAAAGAUAUAAGAUAGAUCUUGUAAAUAAUUUCAUUAAGGGCAAUAUAGUACUUUUAAUAAGAAAGGUUAUUGUGAAAAAUAGGAAGAAUCUACCAGCCAUUUUCAAAGUUGUCCCUCUUUUUCUCGAUGUCAGCUCCUCACUUGUUAUCUAUUUUUUCAUAUCUGUGAUUUCAUUAGUUUAGGCCAUAAGUUUUUAGUGAAGUAUUAUUAUGUUUCUACUUGUUCAACUACUAUGCUGAUUUUGGGUUUCGCUGUAUUUUAUCUUAGGUUUAAUGUAGUUUAGUGGUAUAAUUGUUUAGUUUCUUGAAUGUACAUGUUUUAAUUUAGAUUGCACUUUAUUGGGAAAAGUUGAGUUGGAUUUUAGCUUGAUUUGGUUGUUGUUCUCUUAUGCUGAAUUUGAGAUUUAGUUUGGGUCUUAGGAAUAUGAAAUUAUGAAUUAAAAAUUGGGUUUCCAAUUUCUUCUGAGAAUCAUAGUUUAUGGGCUUAAAGAGGGAAAAGAAUAUGCUGUGUUGUGCAAAGUGAAAUGUGAUUCUAUUUGAUUCGCAAAAUAUAGGGAUUACAAAAUUUUAUUUUUUAGUUGUUCUAAACGAUUUUCGUUUUCUUCAAUCGGAUGGGAGCUGUGGAAACAACAAAUUUGAAGAGGUCCAGAAUAUUUUUGACACGGUAUGACAGUUGAAAAUAUCCCUAGGAUUACAAUUGAUAAAGAUGAAAAUGUUGGUGACUAUGGGGGGAGAGUCUCUUCUUCAUUCUGUCUUCAAGUACUAUUAAUCAUGAAUAAUAAUGUUUCAUUUAUUAAUCAAUUGAAUUGAUUGCAAACAAAAUAUAAAAAAAUACUUUCAUUUCAUCAUUCCUACAUAUGAGGUUUCUUUAUUUGUUAUAUAAACCCUCAAUUAGGUUUGAGCUUCAGUAAAUGAGUUUAUUCAUUGUAAUUGGAUCAUAUUUUGUAUAAUGAAUUUCAGGAUAUUAGAUGAUUUACUGAUUAUGUCAGUAAAAUAAUUUUCAACAUAUUAGUACUUUUUAAUUUUGUUUCUUUCAUAAAUGUAGAAAGCAAUUCUUGUUUAAAUGAUUAUGGAGCAAGAUUUUGUAAGAAGUCUUCAAAAGAAAGUUAGGGUUGUACCUUGGAUGUGGAUCUUGCAGUAAAUUUUAUUUAUUGUUUCUUAAAUUUCAUAUAGACGGGUUUUUGUAGAUAUAAACUCUUUUUCAUCUAUUUAGCUCACGGAAUUAGAAAUGGAUUAGUCUGAUGUCAGGUAAUUAUGUCAUGCACAAGAAACAUAUUUGCAACAUUUGUUGGUUGAAUGAAGAACAUUAGUGGAACUGUUAGCCAAAAAUGAAAUGUAAUUGGAAAAGAAAUUCAAGGAAAUAAUAUAGGAUGAAUAUGAGGGUGUGACAUCAAUAAAGAACAGGCUACUCUUUUCUAUGUCUUAUGAAAAAUUAAAUUGUAUUGUAAUCAUUGCUUUGGUUCGGUUGAUAACUAAGAUUCUCCUAUUGAUGCAAGUAAUUCAAUAUUUUCUUCCUUAACUGUAUAGUAAUAGACGAGAUGUGAUCAAUGUUGUAUAGACUCAGCAGUUUGUUUUACAAUAUUAUCAUGCUUGUAUUUUAAACAUCUUAGUCAGGCUUUUAUCCUGGGCUGAUCUUAAUGUGCAGCAAGAGUUCAUCCAAGGAAUCACUGCUUCGAAUUUUAAUUAGGAGGAACUGAAUAAUCAAGCAACUCUUGUAUGUUGAAUGCUGCUUUAAUAAGUUGAGCUUUUUCCUAUAGAUUCAGGAUGAUGCUCUUUGUAAUUCAAAAGAUUCAAGCGGGAGUGGAAAGUACACUAAUGGUCAAGAUGACGCUGAUACUCCUCUAGAGGGAGUGUCCACUAAUAUUGGCAUUCAUUCAAAUGCUGCACAACAACUGGAGGUAUGGUUGCUAUUCAAUAUAUAGUUCCAAUUUUCCUAUUGUUAUUCCGUGCUUUCCUUCAGGCUCUCUCUUCUCUUUUGCUCUGUUUUUCAUUUCUCCCAAUCCUAUGUAAUUAUCUAGUAUGCGUAGUUUAAUCUUUAUUUUCUCAGGAUCAAUGAUAUUCAUAUCUGGAGAAUUCGUUUGCUGCAUUUCUUAUGAAAUUUCUUCGGGUACUAAAUAUGGUGCAUCUGGUUUGGACAAGAUAGAAAGGCGAAGUACAUAGUUUUGGACUCAAAAAUAGAUCAGCCUGCAAUGCAAUGGCAAUGGCAAUAUUUUCAUUGAUAUUUUGCGCCUUUGUAAAUUAACAUUUUUAGCAUGUUGGUAUAUCCUUAGCUCGUUGCCCUUGUUAUUUUUAGGAAACAAUUCUUGUGCACAGAGAGUUGGGGAAUACUGUUGGCCUUAAUGAACUUAUUGUGGUUCCUUUGAUAAUCC
Molecule: long non-coding RNA, 2655 nt
Filed under: Olea europaea subsp. europaea
Lineage: Eukaryota; Viridiplantae; Streptophyta; Magnoliopsida; Lamiales; Oleaceae
Source: RNAcentral